Molecule: small RNA, 430 nt
Filed under: Pongo abelii (Sumatran orangutan)
Lineage: Eukaryota; Metazoa; Chordata; Mammalia; Primates; Hominidae
Description: processed transcript
Source: RNAcentral
GGAUCACUCAGGUAGCUUGAAGAGGAUGGAUUUGGAGGAUGAGGCAGUGCCACUCCUUUUUCCUCCAUGCUCGCUGGUGAAGAUAAUGAGGAACAGUGAACUAGCUAAAGGUAACAAACCUGAAUUUGGCAACUGGCAUCAUAAACAGAAGCAGUGCUUCAACUCCCCCAACCCUCCGACCCAUCAUCAGUCCUAGUGGCCCGACAUGGUCAACACAGUCAGACCCCCAAGCUCCCGAGAAUCACUCCAGCCCUCCUGGAAGCAGUUUCAUUUAACUGAACUCAAACAACCUCGCUGAACAAUGCUUAUUGGGAAGUGGGAAGGAAAUUUCCUUUAUGUAGUUGAGAGAUGUGGCUAAAGAUAAAAUCCAAGUAGCUUCUGGCGAUGAUGUAAGCAGCUUCCAAAUUAAAAAAGAAACCACUGUAUUGAA